RNAcentral lists this long non-coding RNA (201 nucleotides) under Zonotrichia albicollis (white-throated sparrow). RNAcentral describes it as "lncRNA (ENSZALG00000002225.1)". Lineage: Eukaryota; Metazoa; Chordata; Aves; Passeriformes; Passerellidae. The record is from RNAcentral.
CUUUUUUUGAUGUAGGUUUUGGCAGUUGACUGCUAAUCCUCUCCUUUUCCACAGGGCAAGAGAGAGCAUUUCCCUGUUGUCCAUGUUAGCCACAGAGACAGGAUAAGAGGAUGGUUCCAAGUGCAUCUAUUCUAUGCUGUGGUUUUGGCAGCCUGGGUUUAAGGCAAUGUUUCCUAAACCUACCACCAUUCUUCUCCUGAG